ACAAGUAGUCAGAGCCCGUUAAUGGGUGAUGGCGUGCCUUUUGUAGAAUGAACCGGCGAGUUACGAUUUGAUGCAAGGUUAAGCAGUAAAUGUGGAGCCGUAGCGAAAGCGAGUCUGAAUAGGGCGUUUAGUAUUUGGUCGUAGACCCGAAACCAGGUGAUCUACCCUUGGUCAGGUUGAAGUUCAGGUAACACUGAAUGGAGGACCGAACCGACUUACGUUGAAAAGUGAGCGGAUGAACUGAGGGUAGCGGAGAAAUUCCAAUCGAACCUGGAGAUAGCUGGUUCUCUCCGAAAUAGCUUUAGGGCUAGCCUCAAGUGAUGAUUAUUGGAGGUAGAGCACUGUUUGGACGAGGGGCCCCUCUCGGGUUACCGAAUUCAGACAAACUC
RNAcentral lists this ribosomal RNA (389 nucleotides) under Staphylococcus aureus. Its description in RNAcentral is "partial 23S ribosomal RNA". It matches the Rfam family "Bacterial large subunit ribosomal RNA", at positions 566 to 956 of the family's 2925-position model. The record is from RNAcentral. Lineage: Bacteria; Bacillati; Bacillota; Bacilli; Caryophanales; Staphylococcaceae.